RNAcentral lists this unclassified non-coding RNA (213 nucleotides) under Glomus sp. RNAcentral's name for it is "partial contains 5.8S ribosomal RNA and internal transcribed spacer 2". Lineage: Eukaryota; Fungi; Glomeromycota; Glomeromycetes; Glomerales; Glomeraceae. The record is from RNAcentral.
GUGAAUCAUCGAAUUUUUGAACGCAAAUUGCACUCUCUUCUGAUGGGAUGCCUGUUUGAGGGUCAGCCUAAAAAAAAUCGACAUCGUUUCUGUUACGCGGUAACAUGCGUCGGAUAUUGCGUCAUCUUAAACCUUUCGGUUUAUGCGGCUUAAAAUUUUCUUUACGUUUCCAAGCACGUUUCUAAGCUUUUAUUUUCUUAUACGUUUAUGGUA